RNAcentral lists this unclassified non-coding RNA (274 nucleotides) under Hevea brasiliensis (rubber tree). Lineage: Eukaryota; Viridiplantae; Streptophyta; Magnoliopsida; Malpighiales; Euphorbiaceae. The record is from RNAcentral.
UCAAAUAACACAGCAAAUUCCUCUGAGUCGGUGGUGUCUGCCAGUGCUCCUUUGAAAGAUAACCUAACUACUUCAGAGUCUGGCAAAGCUGAUGCUAACGGAGCACCGGCUUUGAGUGAACCAAGUAACGCUGUACAAGAUGGAAAGGAGUCUGAAACCACAAAUUCACCGGAUGGACCAAAGCAAGGUGAGCUUCAUCUGUAUCCUGUCUCUGUCACAGCACAGAGUGGCGAGAAGCUUGAGCUGCAGUUGAACCCUGGAGAUUCUGUCAUGG